This 1444-nucleotide ribosomal RNA is filed under the name uncultured organism. Its description in RNAcentral is "SSU rRNA". It matches the Rfam family "Bacterial small subunit ribosomal RNA". The record is from RNAcentral.
AUGGCUCAGGAUGAACGCUAGCUACAGGCUUAACACAUGCAAGUCGAGGGGCAGCAUGGUCUUAGCUUGCUAAGGCCGAUGGCGACCGGCGCACGGGUGAGUAACACGUAUCCAACCUGCCGUCUACUCUUGGACAGCCUUCUGAAAGGAAGAUUAAUACAAGAUGGCAUCAUGAGUCCGCAUGUUCACAUGAUUAAAGGUAUUCCGGUAGACGAUGGGGAUGCGUUCCAUUAGAUAGUAGGCGGGGUAACGGCCCACCUAGUCUUCGAUGGAUAGGGGUUCUGAGAGGAAGGUCCCCCACAUUGGAACUGAGACACGGUCCAAACUCCUACGGGAGGCAGCAGUGAGGAAUAUUGGUCAAUGGGCGAGAGCCUGAACCAGCCAAGUAGCGUGAAGGAUGACUGCCCUAUGGGUUGUAAACUUCUUUUAUAAAGGAAUAAAGUCGGGUAUGGAUACCCGUUUGCAUGUACUUUAUGAAUAAGGAUCGGCUAACUCCGUGCCAGCAGCCGCGGUAAUACGGAGGAUCCGAGCGUUAUCCGGAUUUAUUGGGUUUAAAGGGAGCGUAGAUGGAUGUUUAAGUCAGUUGUGAAAGUUUGCGGCUCAACCGUAAAAUUGCAGUUGAUACUGGAUAUCUUGAGUGCAGUUGAGGCAGGCGGAAUUCGUGGUGUAGCGGUGAAAUGCUUAGAUAUCACGAAGAACUCCGAUUGCGAAGGCAGCCUGCUAAGCUGCAACUGACAUUGAGGCUCGAAAGUGUGGGUAUCAAACAGGAUUAGAUACCCUGGUAGUCCACACGGUAAACGAUGAAUACUCGCUGUUUGCGAUAUACUGCAAGCGGCCAAGCGAAAGCGUUAAGUAUUCCACCUGGGGAGUACGCCGGCAACGGUGAAACUCAAAGGAAUUGACGGGGGCCCGCACAAGCGGAGGAACAUGUGGUUUAAUUCGAUGAUACGCGAGGAACCUUACCCGGGCUUAAAUUGCAGAUGAAUUACGGUGAAAGCCGUAAGCCGCAAGGCAUCUGUGAAGGUGCUGCAUGGUUGUCGUCAGCUCGUGCCGUGAGGUGUCGGCUUAAGUGCCAUAACGAGCGCAACCCUUGUUGUCAGUUACUAACAGGUUCCGCUGAGGACUCUGACAAGACUGCCAUCGUAAGAUGUGAGGAAGGUGGGGAUGACGUCAAAUCAGCACGGCCCUUACGUCCGGGGCUACACACGUGUUACAAUGGGGGGUACAGAGGGCCGCUACCACGCGAGUGGAUGCCAAUCCCAAAAACCUCUCUCAGUUCGGACUGGAGUCUGCAACCCGACUCCACGAAGCUGGAUUCGCUAGUAAUCGCGCAUCAGCCACGGCGCGGUGAAUACGUUCCCGGGCCUUGUACACACCGCCCGUCAAGCCAUGGGAGCCGGGGGUACCUGAAGUGCGUAACCGCGAGGAGCGCCCUAGGGUAAAA